GACACAUCUCCAGAACCCUGCUGGCCUCUUACACUUCACAGUGACUGCUGUGCUGGUUUGAAUGAGAACAGCCACACAGGCUCAUGGGAAUGAAUCCUUCAAAUCCAGCUGAGGCCAUGUUCAGAGAGGAUUGGGAGGUGUGGCCUUGAUGGAGGAUGUGUGCCACUGGUGUAUGCACUGAGGUUUUAAAAGACUUUCACUGGGCUGGAGAGAUGGCUCAGUGGUUAACAGCACUGGCUGCUCCUGAGUUCAAAUCCCAGCAAACACACGUUGCCUCACAACCCUCUGUAAUGAGAUCUGAUGCCCUCUUAUGGUGUCUGAAGACAGGUACAGUGUACUUUAU
Molecule: long non-coding RNA, 343 nt
Filed under: Rattus norvegicus (Norway rat)
Lineage: Eukaryota; Metazoa; Chordata; Mammalia; Rodentia; Muridae
Description: long non-coding RNA NONRATT017142
Source: RNAcentral